Molecule: transfer RNA, 73 nt
Filed under: Stegodyphus mimosarum
Lineage: Eukaryota; Metazoa; Arthropoda; Arachnida; Araneae; Eresidae
Rfam family: tRNA
About the family: Transfer RNA (tRNA) molecules are approximately 80 nucleotides in length. Their secondary structure includes four short double-helical elements and three loops (D, anti-codon, and T loops).
Source: Rfam by way of RNAcentral
GCUUUCGUGGUGUAGUGGUCAGCACGCUUGACGCGUAUUCGAGAGGUCCGUGGUUCGAGUCCCGGCGAGGCCA